CCAAAUCAAAACAGUGUAGAAAUUAUAAUGGAUCUACAUCCAAAAUAUGUCCCGCUUGCUUAUAGUCAACUAAAUGCAAGCUAGACAUUCGGGGAGUAUCGUAAGAUCACAAAAAAACGACGGAUAGAGGAAAUGUUUUGCAAAUUUUGACGGCGAGGAAAUAUCACCAAUUCUCAGUGCGGCCCUUCAGACCUCGUUGAAGAUGCAGCCUCCGUGGCAAAGGAAGUUUGACACCCCUGAUAUAGACUAUAAAUAAAAUAUGGUAAGCAGUGUUGUGCUUCAUGUAGGUGUUUAUCUCUCAGUUGUUACUCUUGUGAAUGGUUAACCGAGCCGUAGUCAGGUCUAGGAGGUCUUGGUACAGAAGGUAUGAGAGAUACUCGGAAGGUAGAAGAGAUACUCGGAAGAUAGAAGAGAUCCUCAGAAGGUAGAAGAGAUACUCAGAAGGUAGAAGAGAUACUCAGAAGGUAGAAGAGAUACUCAGAAGGUAUGAGAGAUACUCAGAAGGUAGAAGAGAUACUCAGAAGGUAGAAGAGAUACUCAGAAGGCAUGAGAGAUACUCAGAAGGCAUGAGAGAUACUCAGAAGGUAUGAGAGAUGCUCAGAAGGCAUGAGAGAUACUCAGAAGGCAUGAGAGAUACUCAGAAGGUAUGAGAGAUGCUCAGAAGGCAUGAGAGAUACUCAGAAGGCAUGAGAGAUACUCAGAAGGUAUGAGAGAUACUCAGAAGGCAUGAGAGAUACUCAGAAGGUAUGAGAGAUACUCAGAAGGUAGAAGAGAUACUCAGAAGGUAUGAGAGAUACUCAGAAGGUAGAAGAGAUACUCAGUCAGAGGUGUAGAUGACUAGACAGAACAGGUACAGAUACUCAGUCAGAGGUGUAGAUGACUAGACACAACAGGUACAGAUACUCAGUCAGAGGUGUAGAUGACUAGACAGAACAGGUACAGAUACUCAGUCAGAGGUGUAGAUGACUAGACAGAACAGGUACAGAUACUCAGUCAGAGGUGUAGAUGACUAGACAGAACAGGCCCGAUGCUCCAGUAUCACAGGCCAUUGAUCAAAAGGAGUGUCGGCACACAGCAUAUUCUUUUAUCUAUCAGGUUAGGGGGGGGGGGGUCUCACCUCCAAGGAAUGGGAAUAACUAACAUGUUAAGGGGGGGUCUCACCUCCAAGGAAUGGGAAUAACAUGACAUCAGUCCCACAGGGUCAUUCUUGAGCUGCGGUAAUAUAUAUAUUUUUAAAUAAACGUUUUUUUGUUGUUGAUAUGGAUUAUUGAUAUUUACCUUCAACCCCGUCACAGACAACAUGAAUAUGAUUAUAAAAUAUACUUGUUAUAAAAUCAACAUGUUCCUAAUGCCCAAAUAAAUACAAUUAUUAGAUAUAUAAAAUCUCAUACAUUUUUGAUUUUAUUAAAACCCUGAAAUAGA
Long non-coding RNA from Oncorhynchus keta (chum salmon), 1422 nucleotides. RefSeq lists it as uncharacterized. The transcript has 3 exons. The record is from RefSeq and is a predicted model, not a curated record. NCBI's taxonomy places the organism in Eukaryota, Metazoa, Chordata, Actinopteri, Salmoniformes, Salmonidae.